This 3428-nucleotide unclassified non-coding RNA is filed under the name Lytechinus variegatus (green sea urchin). The record is from RNAcentral. Lineage: Eukaryota; Metazoa; Echinodermata; Echinoidea; Temnopleuroida; Toxopneustidae.
UGCUGCCCUCUGUUGGUACUGGCGUUGUGUAUAAAAUCUUCACGAUUUCAUUGCGUUUCCACUUGAACUCGUUUUGAACUCUUAUUUCUAUACAGGAUACUUCUGAAGAACUUUGAAUGUAGGAUGCAGUUUUUCGACUUCUCACGUACAAUAAGUUGGAUGUAGUUAAAUGAAUCUUGAUUGGAUAUUCAUAGUCACAAAGAAUACAUUUCGCCAAAGGCAAAUGCUACUGAUGAACUUUUCACUUUUUCUUCGGUCCCACUAAUCGUCUAUAUUGUUAGAACAAAAUCAACGAAGGAAGAAGAAGGCACGUGUCGUGAAUUGUCAAUUGUCGAAUUAAAACAAUCGUUUCAAUAAUGGCGUUGUCUAAAAGAGACAUAGAGGAGUUGCGACCAGUUGUUCAGGCUUCGGUUUUGAAAGUCCUUGGAAUCAGUGAGCCGAGUGUGGUUAUUGCUGCUGUUAAUUGUAUUGACCAGAGGAUGUCCAAAACAAAAACCGUUGAUAUGUUAAAGCCCUUGCUAGAAGACUCUGCUGAGAGGUUUGUGGAGACCCUAUUUGCAGAUGUAGCAGGUUUUCAAGGUGGAAGUAAAGCUUCAAAGAGAACCAGUAAAGAUGAUGAUGGAUAUGAGGGACACAAGAAGCGUUCUAAAUUCUCUCACUUUCCCGGUGAAGACGAGAAUGGAGUCAAGUUUUCAAAGAGUCAGCCCGAGGCUCUGAGAAAUGAUGCUCUAGAGAAAGCCAAGAAAGCUGCUGAGAUACAAGCACGCAUACAGGCAACUAUGAUGAGUGCUGGGUUAGGUGGUUUGAAACUACCACCUAUGCCUGGAAUACCACAAGCACCUGCAAUACCUAAAGUACCAGCUCCUAAAGAAGAUACCAGUCAGAGUAAACCACCACCAGCUGUUCUUACUAAACCAGCACCAUUGAUUCUUGAUGAUCAAGGUAGGACAAUUGAUAAAUCAGGACGUGUCAUCAUACUACCGCAACACAGACCAACAAUUAAGGCUAACAUCAGAGCCAAACGGAGAGAAGAAUUUAAGGCCAAUCAGCAGGAAAAACCACAGGACUUCUCUUCUGACUCCAACCAAUUCUUUGAUCCAAGGGUAGCACCAGCAGUUGGUAGAGCAAGCAGAAAGACAUUCAAGUUUCAUGAAAAGGGCAAGUUUGAACAGGUUGCACAGAGGAUAAGGGCCAAGUCACAACUAGAGAAGCUUCAGAAUGAGAUUUCUCAGGCAGCUAAAAAGACUGGAAUUACAUCAGCAACCAAACUAGCAUUGAUUACACCGAAGAGAGAAGUGAAAGAGAAUGAAGUACCAAUUGUUGAAUGGUGGGAUAGUUUCAUCCUCCCCACAGAGUCAUAUUCAGAUGUGAUUACAGACACAUCUCAAGGGAGUGGAAAGUUUGUAGGCAUUACUAAUUUGGUAGAACAUCCUAUCCAGAUUGAACCACCAGCUGAGAAGAAAGAUGUUGAGCUUCCUAUUUAUCUGACAAAGAAAGAGAUGAAGAAGCUGAGGAGACAGAGGAGGAGAGAAGGAUUAAAAGAAAUGCAAGAAAAGAUCAGAAUGGGACUUGAACCACCACCAGAACCAAAAGUACGGAUGGCAAACCUAAUGAGAGUUUUGGGUACAGAAGCUGUACAGGAUCCUACUAAAGUAGAAGCACAUGUCAGAGCUCAGAUGGAGAAGAGACAAAGGACACAUGAGGAAACCAAUGCAGCAAGGAAGCUCACUGCAGAACAACGGAAAGAGAAGAAGGAACGCAAGAUAAGAGAAGACACUUCAUCAGGUGUCAAUGUUAGUGUGUACCGGGUGUUGAACUUGAAUAAUCCAGCUAAACGUUUCAAGGUUGAAGCUAAUGCCCAGCAGCUUCAGAUGACAGGGAUAGCAGUGGUACAUAAAGAUAUGAACUGUGUAGUGGUAGAAGGGGGACCAAAGCAACAGAAAAAAUUCCAGCAAUUGAUGUUACAUAGGAUCAAAUGGGGUGAGGAUAAAAGGAGCAAACACAAUGAUGAUGACUCUGGAGAUGAAUCCGAUAAAUCCAAUCAUUGUCAGCUGAUGUGGACUGGAAUGAUCAAACAACGUAAUUUCAGUGAGCUUCAUUUCAAGAUGUGUCCAACAGAAGCUAUGGCUAGAGAACAAUUUAAGAAGCACAAUGUGGAGCAGUAUUGGGACCUUGUUCACAGUCAAAGUGUUCUGGAAUCUACAGAUUCAUGAUGGAUAAACAGUUUGUACAAAUCAAUCAUCAAAGCAAAAUGUCGGUAUCUUUGUCUUUUUCAGAAGUGAAUAUUAUUUUAAUUUUUUUUUUCUUAAAGCAUGUUUCAUUUAGGACAUUUUGAAGAAUCUCCCAAUAAACCAAAAAGAAACUUGACAUUUAUUACUUAACAUGCACAGUGAAGUCAUGGCCAAAAGAGAUCUGAGGCACUUUUCAGUAAGAGUUGCAUUCAAAAGCAACUCCUUAAUACACAUGUUUGAUUGGUUGAAAAUCAAGUUGUGUUUGAUUUUAUGAUAUGCGUUUGUUUGCAACUCUUUUUUUACAACAUGGUCCCUGUAACACAGAACUUAAAAUGUGAUAUUAAAGUUGAUUUGCACAAUUGAAUGCGAGUUAUUGAUGCAAAUUUGUGUUAUUUGGGCUUGAUCUAAAGGGAUUGCUUUUUUGUCUUGCCUUCCAUCUUCUGAUGUUCUAGAUCUGUUUCUGAAGGUGGGCUGGUUUUUUUUUUUGGGGGGGAGGGGUUAUCACUCUUAUGAGGCUCAGACAGGAUAACAGCAAAUCAGAUUAAAAAGAUAUUUCUUAUUGAAACAAAACAAAAAUAUUUGUUGACACUGGUAUUGCUUAAUUUCAUUCCCCCAAGGUUAUUGUGAUCCUUGGUAAAUAUACUCAUAUCUUUGAAAUAGGUUUUACCUUAAACAAAAGAAUACACCAAAAGUUUAUAAAAAUAAAAAAGAUAGACUUUAGAAGGAGUACACUUUUUCAAAAUGUCAGAUCACAUGAACUUUAUCAGUCUCUAAUGUAUAGCAAGGCUGAAUGACUUUUUGGUGAAAGCCUACCAAAACCUCAUCAAUUUUCAUGCCAACUUGUAAAUACUUUUUCAGUAUUAAUCAUAAUCGAUAAAGCUUCUUAUAUUGAACUCGAGUCAAAUUCUUUUUAAGCAUAUAGGUAUAAAAGUAUUUUGGUUUCUUUUGUGAAAGAAUGAGUGAUUCAUUGAAGAUGAUGUGAUCCCAUUUUGAGAUUGUGUGUAAUGAAAAGCAAAGGUACUUUUAUGCUUUAUUGCUCUUUCUGUUUCUAUCUCUCAAGCUAAUGGAGAUACAGCAGUUGAGACUGGCCACAGGAUAAUAUCAACACUGUUCUGUUGGAAUCAAAUGUUCUCAUCCUAACUCAACCCAUCAAUACAUCAAACAUAUUAAAGGUAGGUAUCAUCAUUAUCACAUUGA